ACUCCUACGGGAGGCAGCAGUGGGGAAUAUUGGACAAUGGGCGCAAGCCUGAUCCAGCCAUGCCGCGUGAGUGAUGAAGGCCCUAGGGUUGUAAAGCUCUUUCACCGGUGAAGAUAAUGACGGUAACCGGAGAAGAAGCCCCGGCUAACUUCGUGCCAGCAGCCGCGGUAAUACGAAGGGGGCUAGCGUUGUUCGGAUUUACUGGGCGUAAAGCGCACGUAGGCGGACUAUUAAGUCAGGGGUGAAAUCCCGGGGCUCAACCCCGGAACUGCCUUUGAUACUGGUAGUCUUGAGUUCGAGAGAGGUGUGUGGAAUUCCGAGUGUAGAGGUGAAAUUCGUAGAUAUUCGGAGGAACACCAGUGGCGAAGGCGGCUCACUGGCUCGAUACUGACGCUGAGGUGCGAAAGCGUGGGGAGCAAACAGGAUUAGAUACCCCAGUAGUCCC
RNAcentral lists this ribosomal RNA (445 nucleotides) under uncultured organism. RNAcentral describes it as "partial 16S ribosomal RNA". It matches the Rfam family "Bacterial small subunit ribosomal RNA", at positions 335 to 797 of the family's 1533-position model. The record is from RNAcentral.